RNAcentral lists this long non-coding RNA (845 nucleotides) under Monodelphis domestica (gray short-tailed opossum). Its description in RNAcentral is "lncRNA (ENSMODG00000046277.1)". The record is from RNAcentral. Lineage: Eukaryota; Metazoa; Chordata; Mammalia; Didelphimorphia; Didelphidae.
CUUCGUAGAAAAAUUAAAAUUCACUCUAAUGGAUGAGAGCUAAAAUGUGUAGUUUAUUCAAAAGACCUUAAAUUUUCAUUGAUACUGUAUUCAUUAGUUAUUUCUUUUGUUAAUUUUAUGCUUUUAUUCAUUAACAUUAAAUGAAUUGUGUCAUGGACUCUAAACAACCUGAUAUGGAUCAGUCGACACAUCUUGAGUGUUAAACAGAGUUAAUUAUUCAAAGCUAGUAUAUCCAGAAAAUAUUUAAAAUUUAACUAAAGGUUCAACGGACUCAUCACAUUCUUCCCUGGAAGAUUUUAUACUAGGUAAACUACAAGACACAGGAAUUCUCAAGCAUGUACAUGAUACAGUGAAUAUCUUUUCUCUUCUCCAGUUAUAGAAGCUUGAAGUAUAAUCUGGACUGAAAAUUUAAAGGUAUUUGACAUGACAUCAUCUGUUCCAAAUCAGGAAUUGUCCCUGCAAAACCCAUGAUUGAGGAACUGGACUCUGCUUGGUUAACAGGAGGAACUACAAUCAAAAUCUCAGAUUUCAAGCAGUCCUUCUCUACACCAUGGAAUCGUGACUCAGGAUUGAUUAUGGGCAACAGAAUUUCCAGUAAGUGCCAGUAAAGUGUCUCCUAUAAUCUCUUUCUGACAGGCGUUCUAAUUUCCUUUCUAUAUCUGUGCUGGGAGAUCACAAAGCAAAAAUAGCAGCAACUGCUGCCAGGUGUGUAGGCUCCAAACAGGUUUCAACCCCAGUGUUACAAACUUCUCCUGGCAACCAACUAAAUUUUCUUUUUCUUUAGGUGGAAGAAAAUCUAAAUCUGACUUUUUCUUUUUUAUAUUUUAUUUUAUUCUUUAAUCACA